AGAUCUCUCUCUCUGCGGAAGCCAGCCACCGCUCUCCAAGGACUCUCGAGCAGCUCCAUCUACAGAUUCACAUGGAGAAGAAUUAAGGGUUCCUGCCAAUCACCAGCACCACUUUGCCAGCCUUGUAAGUGGGCCACCUUGGAAUUGGAGCCUCCAGUUCCUACUGACAUCUGACUGCAACAUCAUGAGAGACCCUGAGUUUGAACCACCCAGCUGAGCUGCUUCUGAGCUAACCCACUGAAACCGUGAAAGUACCUGAAUGAAACAACACCCAGUAGCCACUAGCACACCUAGCUCCCAGAUCUGUUUUUGAUGCCAUUCUUCAGUAAAAGGAAGCAAGGCUGCUUGGAGAAAUUGCUAUCAAGGACUGGGGUAGAAAAUAUACAAGAUGAAAUUGGAGCAUCUUGUAGUGCUUGAAAACAGUUGGCAUCUGUGUGAAGAUGUGAAUGGAGGAGGCAGAGUAGGCAGUGAGUGCCGCAGCCACAGCUUGUGUUCUCUGCAGCCCUGGCACAGAAGAUAGGAACACUCAUGGGGGAUGCGGCCACUGUGAUGUCUUCCCACACAAGAAGUGCCAAGUGCUUUUCUCAUGCUUUUCUGGAUUGUCCCAUGGUGGACGAGUCAGCAGGAGUGAGAUGGAGCAGCACAGUAGAGGGGUACCUGGCAAGGCCCGGAGGGAGGACCCCCUGCCCCAAACAUUUCAAUGAUAUCAGGUGACAGCCGUGAUCCUCUUAGCACCUGCUCUGUUUUGUCCCAGGCCAGGAUAUCGUUGUACAUAUUCUCAGCUAAGUGAGCACCAAUAGAGGAGAGGGAGAGUCUCAUGGAAGUUCCUUCUAAGCCUUUGGCUCUUUUUACCUUCAACAAGGUGUGCCACCUCUUUGAUCCAGCAAGUGGGAAGAACAGUCCCGGCCUCUUUGCACACAAGACCGUGAUACCAAUGCACCAUCACAGGCCCCACAGGGGAGCUGUCCGCUUCCCCACACAGCUGCUAGGGGCUCUUUUGCAUGUUCCCAACCUUUCCUGCCUUUAUCUGAUAUUCGUUCCUUAGAUCCUGGGAUGAGGAGGUGGACCAGCAGAAGGUGGGCUUGUGAAGGCAGCCCGGGGUCCAAAUCCUCCUGGCUCUUCAGCUUAGCGGGUUAGUUAACAUUCAGAAGCCUUCAUCUCCCAUCUGCAAAAUGGGCAUGUCCAACUCAGAAGCUGCCUUGAAGAAAGGGUCUACCCAGCAUGGUGCGUGGAGCCUAAGCAGUCAGUACUUCAGGACUUCACCCGGCCCCUUUCCAAUAACUGCUGCUGUCGCCCUCACAGGAUGUCACCUUCAGCGUCUGAAAGCUGGGUUUGAUGCGUCUGGAAAGGCGUCCCUGACAGGCGUCGUUGCCAGGAGCCCCUAGUGCCACCAGCAGCCAGCAGGGGAGGGCGUCCUCUGCCCGCUCACUUCUGACCCUUCUCUCGUUGCACCCGGAACAUGGUGCAGCUGGGAGCAGCCUGGGCUGCGCGGAAGGCUCAGAUUUGGGGACGGCCCUUGCCAGUGACUGUGAGCUGGGGUGUCUUGGAAACUCCCAGUCUCAGCUUCUCCAUUUAUAAGAUGAGAAUGAUCAUACCAGACUCAGGCAAGGUUGUUUGUGCAUUAGUGAAAUCAGACGUAUUAAAUAAAGUACCACAUUGAUCGUGGAGUUGUUGAAUAACCAAGAACACGCCUAUCUGUCUCCAAAAAAUAAAUGUUGAAAAUGA
Molecule: long non-coding RNA, 1725 nt
Filed under: Homo sapiens (human)
Lineage: Eukaryota; Metazoa; Chordata; Mammalia; Primates; Hominidae
Description: long intergenic non-protein coding RNA 658
Source: RNAcentral